Molecule: unclassified non-coding RNA, 277 nt
Filed under: Hevea brasiliensis (rubber tree)
Lineage: Eukaryota; Viridiplantae; Streptophyta; Magnoliopsida; Malpighiales; Euphorbiaceae
Source: RNAcentral
GGGGAACUAUGGUUCGCAUUUGCUGUAUUUUGAGCUUGGGUUGAGGCUGACCCCGAUCCUUGACGCAUGGGGGAUAAAGGUAAACUCCCAGUCGAAGCCUGACGAGACAAUUCAAAUGGCAUGUUGCCAUUUCCAGAUACAGUGGGCAUUCCCAGACGAUCUGAAAAUGGAUGACCAAAUGCAAGCCAAUCUUUCUCUACAAGUGCCUGAAACCCUCUAAUUGUGCGAUAAUAUGGGUCAAGUAGCAAGCUGGCAAGUGAGACCAAUUGUGAUGUUC